GGGGAAUAUUGGACAAUGGGCGCAAGCCUGAUCCAGCCAUGCCGCGUGAGUGAUGAAGGCCCUAGGGUUGUAAAGCUCUUUCACCGAUGAAGAUAAUGACGGUAGUCGGAGAAGAAGCCCCGGCUAACUUCGUGCCAGCAGCCGCGGUAAUACGAAGGGGGCUAGCGUUGUUCGGAAUUACUGGGCGUAAAGCGCACGUAGGCGGAUUGGUCAGUUAGGGGUGAAAUCCCAGGGCUCAACCCUGGAACUGCCUUUAAUACUGCCAGUCUAGAGUUCGAGAGACGUGAGUGGAAUUCCGAGUGUAGAGGUGAGAUUCGUAGAUAUUCGGAGGAACACCAGUGGCGAAGGCGGCUCACUGGCUAGAUACUGACGCUGAGGUGCGAAAGCGUGGGGAGCAAAC
RNAcentral lists this ribosomal RNA (400 nucleotides) under uncultured bacterium. Its description in RNAcentral is "bacterial SSU rRNA". It matches the Rfam family "Bacterial small subunit ribosomal RNA", at positions 356 to 773 of the family's 1533-position model. The record is from RNAcentral.